This 721-nucleotide ribosomal RNA is filed under the name Saprolegnia sp. 1 APM-2013. Its description in RNAcentral is "eukaryotic LSU rRNA". It matches the Rfam family "Eukaryotic large subunit ribosomal RNA", at positions 34 to 657 of the family's 3401-position model. Lineage: Eukaryota; Oomycota; Saprolegniomycetes; Saprolegniales; Saprolegniaceae. The record is from RNAcentral.
UUAAGCAUAUCAUUAAGCGGAGGAAAAGAAACUAACAAGGAUUCCCCUAGUAACGGCGAGUGAAGCGGGAAGAGCUCAAGCUUAAAAUCUCCAUACUUGUAUGGCGAAUUGUAGUCUAUUGAGGCUGUUGUCAGCAUCGCGAUUGGGGACAAGUCCCUUGGAAAAGGGCAGCAUGGAGGGUGAUACUCCCGUCUCUGCUCCAAUUUGCGGUGUGUACGAUACGCUUUCUUUGAGUCGAGUUGUUUGGGAAUACAGCUCAAAGUAGGUGGUAAAUUCCAUCUAAAGCUAAAUAUUGGUGCAAGACCGAUAGCGAACAAGUACCGUGAGGGAAAGAUGAAAAGAACUUUGAAAAGAGAGUUAAAGAGUACCUGAAACUGUUGAAAGGGAACCGUAUCGUUUCCAGUGUUUUAUCUCGUGCAUAUUUCAUUCGUGGAGCAAUUUGCGGGUGCCCUGUGCAUGGGUGUGACGUCAGAGUCAGUUUGUAUGCUGCGGGAGAUGGUCAAUGAGGAGGUGCGUCACUUCGGUGAAAGUUAUAUCUCGUUGUCUAGUAGCCGUGGUUGAGACUGAGGUGCCUACAACAUGCCUUAAAGUUCCAUGUUAUCUCGUGUUGGUGACUGCUUUGAUAGCUUGCUAUGUCUGUGGUUUAUCAAUGCGAUUGGUGGUGUGGAUAACUUUUGCUGUUCGGGACUCUGGCGAAAUGGAGCGAUACGACCCGUCUUGA